AACGAACGCUGGCGGCAUGCCUAACACAUGCAAGUCGAACGAGACCUUCGGGUCUAUUGGCGCACGGGUGAGUAACGCGUGGGAACCUGCCCUUAGGUUCGGAAUAACUCCCCGGAAGGGGUGCUAAUACCGGAUAAUGUCUUCGGACCAAAGAUUUAUCGCCUUUGGAUGGGCGCGCGUUGGAUUAGCUAGUUGGUAGGGUAAAAGCCUACCAAGGCGACGAUCCAUAGCUGGUCUGAGAGGCUGAUCAGCCACACUGGGACUGAGACACGGCCCAGACUACUACGCGAUGCAGCAGUGGGGAAUAUUGGACAAUGGGCGAAAGCAUGAUCCAGCAAUGCCGCGUGAGUGAUGACGGCCUUAGGGUUGUAAAGAUCUUUUACACGGGAUGAUAAUGACAGUACCGGGAGAAUAAGCUCCGGCUAACUCCGUG
RNAcentral lists this ribosomal RNA (433 nucleotides) under uncultured bacterium. Its description in RNAcentral is "partial 16S ribosomal RNA". It matches the Rfam family "Bacterial small subunit ribosomal RNA", at positions 29 to 507 of the family's 1533-position model. The record is from RNAcentral.